Molecule: ribosomal RNA, 498 nt
Filed under: uncultured bacterium
Lineage: Bacteria
Description: partial 16S ribosomal RNA
Rfam family: Bacterial small subunit ribosomal RNA
Source: RNAcentral
GACGAACGCUGGCGGCGUGCCUAAUACAUGCAAGUCGAACGAGAGCGACCGGUGCUUGCACUGGUCAAUCUAGUGGCGAACGGGUGAGUAGCACGUGGGUAACCUGCCCAUCAGAGGGGGAUAACAUCCGGAAGCGGAUGCUAAAACCGCAUAGGUCUUCGAGCCGCAUGGCUUGAAGAGGAAAAGAGGCGCAAGCUUCUGCUGAUGGAUGGACCCGCGGUGCAUUAGCUAGUUGGUGAGGUAACGGCUCACCAAGGCCGUGAUGCAUAGCCGACCUGAGAGGGUGAUCGGCCACAUUGGGACUGAGACACGGCCCAAACUCCUACGGGAGGCAGCAGUAGGGAAUCUUCCGCAAUGGACGCAAGUCUGACGGAGCAACGCCGCGUGAGUGAAGAAGGUUUUCGGAUCGUAAAACUCUGUUGUUAGAGAAGAACAAGUGCUAGAGUAACUGUUAGCGCCUUGACGGUAUCUAACCAGAAAGCCACGGCUAACUACGUG